GACGAACGCUGGCGGCGUGCCUAAUACAUGCAAGUUGAGCGCUGAAGGUUGGUACUUGUACCAACUGGAUGAGCAGCGAACGGGUGAGUAACGCGUGGGGAAUCUGCCUUUGAGCGGGGGACAACAUUUGGAAACGAAUGCUAAUACCGCAUAAAAACUUUAAACACAAGUUUUAAGUUUGAAAGAUGCAAUUGCAUCACUCAAAGAUGAUCCCGCGUUGUAUUAGCUAGUUGGUGAGGUAAAGGCUCACCAAGGCGAUGAUACAUAGCCGACCUGAGAGGGUGAUCGGCCACAUUGGGACUGAGACACGACCCAAACGCCUACGGGAGGCAGCAGUAGGGAAUCUUCGGCAAUGGACGAAAGUCUGACCGAGCAACGCCGCGUGAGUGAAGAAGGUUGUCGGAUCGUAAAACUCUGUUGGUAGAGAAGAACGUUGGUGAGAGUGGAAAGCUCAUAAAGUGACGGUAACUACUCAGAAAGGGACGGCUAACUACGUG
Molecule: ribosomal RNA, 497 nt
Filed under: uncultured bacterium
Lineage: Bacteria
Description: partial 16S ribosomal RNA
Rfam family: Bacterial small subunit ribosomal RNA
Source: RNAcentral